UACAGAGGAGCCAAGCGUUGUCCGGAUUUACUGGGCGUAAAGCGCACGCAGGCGGUUGCGCGCGUGGGGUGUGAAAUCUGGCCGCUUAACGGCCAGGCGCCAUCCCAUACGGCGCGACUGGAGUGAUGCAGAGGUCGAUGGAAUUGCCGGUGUAGUGGUGAAAUGCGUAGAGAUCGGCAGGAACACCCAGGGGGAAUCCAGUCGACUGGGCAUCUACUGACGCUGAGGUGCGAGAGCGUGGGGAGCGAGCCGG
This 253-nucleotide ribosomal RNA is filed under the name uncultured bacterium. Its description in RNAcentral is "partial 16S ribosomal RNA". It matches the Rfam family "Bacterial small subunit ribosomal RNA", at positions 524 to 776 of the family's 1533-position model. The record is from RNAcentral.